RNAcentral lists this small nucleolar RNA (137 nucleotides) under Triticum aestivum (bread wheat). Its description in RNAcentral is "Small nucleolar RNA Z247". It matches the Rfam family "Small nucleolar RNA Z247". Rfam says of the family: Z247 is a member of the C/D class of snoRNA which contain the C (UGAUGA) and D (CUGA) box motifs. Most of the members of the box C/D family function in directing site-specific 2'-O-methylation of substrate RNAs. The record is from Rfam by way of RNAcentral. Lineage: Eukaryota; Viridiplantae; Streptophyta; Magnoliopsida; Poales; Poaceae.
CCGCUCACCGACGACGACAUGGUGUCCUACAUCCUGGCGGGACUCGACUACGACUACGUGUCCUUCGUCUCCACGAUCUGCUCGUACUCAUCAAAUCAAGGUGAGCGAGCUUUACUCGCAGCUGAUCAGCUUUGAAA